GUUGUAUUUGAAAUUAAAAGAAAUCAUCAUCAUCAUCAUUGUGAGAUAUUAGAAACAUAAAACGGAUUGCAUGUAUACAAAGACAAUUCAAAGAUAACAAGGAUUAACAAUCAUCGAAAUCAAAUUUUAUUCACAAGCAUUUAAUAAAACAAAGGUAAAACGGUGGAAAAAACCCGAUGCUUCAACCAGAG
Long non-coding RNA from Dermatophagoides pteronyssinus (European house dust mite), 191 nucleotides. NCBI's taxonomy places the organism in Eukaryota, Metazoa, Arthropoda, Arachnida, Sarcoptiformes, Pyroglyphidae. The record is from RefSeq and is a predicted model, not a curated record.